AUUGAACGCUGGCGGAAUGCUUUACACAUGCAAGUCGAACGGCAGCACGGGAGCUUGCUCCUGGUGGCGAGUGGCGAACGGGUGAGUAAUGCAUCGGAACGUACCUAUUAGUGGGGGAUAACUAUCCGAAAGGAUGGCUAAUACCGCAUACGUCCUGAGGGAGAAAGCGGGGGAUCGUAAGACCUCGCGCUAAUAGAGCGGCCGAUGUUGGAUUAGCUAGUUGGUGGGGUAAAGGCCUACCAAGGCGACGAUCCAUAGCUGGUCUGAGAGGAUGAUCAGCCACACUGGGACUGAGACACGGCCCAGACUCCUACGGGAGGCAGCAGUGGGGAAUUUUGGACAAUGGGGGCAACCCUGAUCCAGCCAUUCCGCGUGAGUGAAGAAGGCCUUCGGGUUGUAAAGCUCUUUCGGCAGGAACGAAACGGUAGUUACUAAUACUAGCUGCUAAUGACGGUACCUGAAGAAGAAGCACCGGCUAACUACGUGCCAGCCGCCGCUGUAA
Molecule: ribosomal RNA, 502 nt
Filed under: uncultured bacterium
Lineage: Bacteria
Description: partial 16S ribosomal RNA
Rfam family: Bacterial small subunit ribosomal RNA
Source: RNAcentral